RNA transcript from Phascolarctos cinereus (koala), 3922 nucleotides. It is a transcript of the gene named TBC1 domain family member 17, with no coding region annotated. NCBI's taxonomy places the organism in Eukaryota, Metazoa, Chordata, Mammalia, Diprotodontia, Phascolarctidae. The record is from RefSeq and is a predicted model, not a curated record.
GGGGAGGUACGGCCCGCCGGAUAUGACGUAAAUAGUUGUUCUCUGGAGGCGGAGCGAGCUAGGGGAGUGGCUUCGGCCCCAGCUGCGACUAUGGAGGAGGCUGGCUACCGGGUGGUGUUCGAGAAGGGCGGAGUGUUCCUGCACACGAGCGCCAGGGGGCGCCACCAGGACCCAGGCUCCCUCAUCGCUGGCGUACUGCGCCUGCUCGAGAAGGAUAAUGACGUCAUCCUGCAUUGGGCCCCAGUUGAAGAGGCUGGAGACUCCUCCCAUGUGGUCUUCUCCAGGAAGGAGCCUGGUGGGGGAGACCCCUGUGCCUCAGAGGAAGAGCCGACCUUUGACCCCGGCUAUGAGCCUGACUGGGCUGUGAUCAGCACCGUGCGCUCCCGGCCCCCUGAGCCUGGCCCAGCUGCAGGGUCCAGCAGCUCCCAGGCUUCCUGGGCCUUCUCAGUGAGCCUGGGGGAGCUGAAGUCGAUACGGCGCUCCAAACCAGGCCUGAGCUGGGCCUAUCUGGUGCUGGUGACCCAGGCGGGUGGCUCCUUGCCAGCUCUCCACUUCCACCGGGGAGGCACACGGGCCCUGCUGCGGGUCCUCAGCCGCUACCUGCUGCUGGCCAGCUCCCCCCAGGACUCGCGCCUCUACCUCGUCUUCCCUCAUGACUCUUCCGCUCUCUCCAACUCAUUCCAUCAUCUCCAGCUCUUCGAUGACGAUAGUUCCAAUGUGGUGUCUCGUUUUCUCCAGGACCCUUAUGCAGCCACUUUUGGUGGUUUCUCACGGGUGACCAACUUUUUUCGGGGAGCCCUUCAACCUCCCCCUGAUGGUCCCCCCACCAGCCGUCCCGAGGCCCUUGAGGAUGAGGAGCCAGAGCCUGGCUUUGAAGUUAUCUCCUGUGUGCAGCUGGGGCCCCGGCCCAUGGUUUCCCGGGGACAGCCUGUGACAGAGGAUAUCUGGGCCAGCCAUGUGGGCCCAGAUGGGCGACUUCAGGAUGUCGGGGAGCUCAAGGCUCAGAUCUUCUCAGGGGGCUUGUGCCCUUCUUUGAGGAGAGAGGCCUGGAAGUUUCUUCUUGGUUAUCUCAGCUGGGAGGGUUCAGCUGAGGAGCACAAGGUCCACAUCCAUAGGAAAACGGAUGAGUAUUUUCGUAUGAAGCUGCAAUGGAAGUCAGUGAGCCCCGAGCAGGAGAGGAGGAACUCAUUGCUCCAUGGAUAUCGCAGCCUCAUUGAGCGAGAUGUGAGCCGUACUGACCGCAACAACAAGUUCUACGAGGGGCCUGGGAAUCCGGGCCUGGGCUUGCUGAAUGACAUCCUUCUGACCUACUGCAUGUAUCACUUUGACCUUGGUUACGUCCAGGGCAUGAGCGAUCUUCUCUCUCCAAUCCUCUUUGUCACUCAGAAUGAGGUCGAUGCCUUUUGGUGCUUCUGUGGCUUCAUGGAGCUUGUGCACGGAAACUUUGAGGAGAGUCAGGAGACGAUGAAGCGUCAGCUUGGCCAGCUUCUGCUGCUGUUGCGGGUUCUAGAUCCUCCACUCUGUGAUUUCCUCGACUCCCAGGACUCUGGCUCUCUCUGCUUCUGUUUCCGCUGGCUGCUCAUCUGGUUCAAGCGUGAAUUCUCCUUCCCUGAUGUUCUCCGUUUGUGGGAGGUGCUGUGGACUGGGCUCCCAGGCCCCAACCUGCACCUGUUGGUGGCCUGCGCCAUCCUUGACAUGGAGAGGGACGCGCUCAUGCUCUCUGGCUUUGGCUCCAAUGAGAUCCUCAAACACAUUAAUGAACUUACUAUGAAGCUGAGUGUGGAAGAUGUCCUGACCCGGGCCCAGGCAUUGUAUGCGCAGCUGACAGCCUGUCAGCCUUGUCCUCUCCAGGCUCGACCCCCUGUUUCUUUAGCUGAUUCUCACUGGACGUGGACUCCAGGCCGGUCCUGACAUCGUUGUCCUCCCGUGGAUUCUCUCCUGCUGUCGAUGCCCUCCUUCAGCCAUGGAGCCCAGAACUGAGCCCAAGGCUCCAGGUAAAAGGCUCUCCUUCAGGGCACCUCUGAAUUCUCAGACAGUGAGUGAUUGUUCUCCUGCUGUCCCCUGGGAGAUCUGCUUCUCCUGGCCAGUCCAUCUCUGGCCCAGCUGGACUCGCCCUGGGACGCCCAGAAGGAGAGAACCCCGGGAAACAGGAGGCCAAACCCUAGAAAAGGGCUUUGAGCCCUGGAGAAAGGGGAGACGGAAAGGAAGACACCUUGCUGAGUUUUGGAAGGAGUCUUACAAGCUCCCCCAAGCUCAAUCAUCAAAGGACCCGCUCACUUCCCCACACUGAGAAAAUAGCCUGGCCGCAAUCAGACCACAAGCAGCAGGGCAGAUGCUGACAUGCACCGGGUGACUCCCCACUGGGAGUUUCCCAUUUCAGUGAAAUCCGAGGUCUAGUGCAAGGGGAAGAAAGAAAGCUGGGUAACUAAUUAGGAGAAUGGGGAACCAGCAAAGAAGACUUAGAAGGAGGGGUCAGGCAGGGGAACCCAGUGUUACAAGAGCUACAGCAUAAGCUGGACUGUGUCACUCCCCUUCUCAAGAGUCCUCAGGGACUCCCAGGUACUUCUCAGAUAAAAUACAAUUCAGAUCAGCAUUUAAAGCCCUUCACAACCUGGCCAGCUUCCCUUUUGCAGACUCAUUUUAUGUUAGUCCCUUUAACUGAAUGCUCCAUCCAAACUGGAUGACAGUAAUGGCCAUCCACCUCCACUCUCCGUGUCUGGGAUGCCCUGCCUCCUCAGGGUUCAGCUACCUCCUACAAGAAGCCUCUCCAGAUUUCUCCCGUGCUUCCUGCUCUUUCCCUGUCAUCUUGUUCUGACCAGCUCCUCCAGAGCCAUCGUCUUAGCUCCCCACAGCUGGGCGGCUCCAGGAAAGGGAGACAUGUGGUAAUGAUCCUCUCUGCAGACUUACGGGAGCACUGUGACCUCUAGGGCCCUGCUGGCUUUGGCCAUGGCGUCUGUGAAAGAUCGCACUGUAUUAUCUUGGGGAUUUCCUUUCCCCAAAAUAAAUAAUGACAUAUGCCACCCUGCUGGGGAAAAAAAAACAUCGAUGUAUUGCCCAAGUGAAAGAAACGGAAGCUUCUUGAGGACAGGGGCUGCCUCCGUGUUAGUUUUGUGUCCCCAGCACCCGGCAUGGGGUCUGGCUGGAGGGGGUGAAGAGCAAAUGUAACCCCAUAUCAGCCUGAAGAAAAGGAAGAAGUCAGAGAAAACCCAUGCCUUGACAUCCCCCGGCCACAGUGUAGCUUCUGGAGAUGUCAGAGACAGCGGCCCCCAAACAGACAGCCGACUUUGGGUGGACAAGCCCUACCUGAGUCUGAGCAGCUCGCCUGUGGGGUGGGAGUGGGGAGGGGAAGUUCAGGUGCUUCGGCUUGUAAUCAACAGUAGCUGGAGACAGCCCCCAGGGUCCUGCGGGAGAGGCUGGGUGGAGAUGUGCUAGGGGAGAUGGUUGCUGUGGAGACUUGCUGCUACCUUGGGUCCUGAGGGAGUCUGCACCUGGCUGGGGAGGGGGAGGGGAGCUCCCAGGUCAGGCCUGGCGGGGCAGGUGAGUAGGAGGCCCUGACAAGGUGGAGGUGGGGUGAGGGUCCAGGCUGCCCCCCAGCCUAGAAGGCUCUCCCUCGGUCCCUUUGCCUCCGGGCUCAGCUCAUUUUCCAGAGGAAACCUUUUCUGGUCCUGUGCCCAUGGCCCCCUCCUCCCCUGCUGGCUCCUUACCCCUGAGGGUAACUCCCUUUGAUUCACACUGUAUCCAUCCCAUACGACAGAGUUGUUUGUCUUAGACUGUGAGCUGCUUGGGGCAGGGCUUAGCAGUGUCCACUGGACGGUGUCCGCUGGAACAGUGGCUGUUGAUUAAGUCGUCCAACUCCUUGUGACCCCAUGUGGAGUUUUCUUGGCAAAGAUACUGGAGGGGUUUGCCCUUUCCUUCUCCAGCU